UAAUAUAGAUUUUUUUUACAUUUUAAAAAUUAAUAAAUUUAUAUAUUGUAGAGGCCCAAAUUUACCCCGGGCCCAACAAGCCCAAAUUAGACAAAAAAAAAUAAACAAAACACAAAAGCCAAUCAAAAUUACAGCCCAAAAAUUAAAACCUAUAUUAGACCCAAAACCCAAUUUACAAACCCUAACAGCCCAAACACACAACAUAAACAAAUUUUUCAGAAAGCAAACCCUAGCCUCUGACCUAGCUGCGCAGCCGCUCCUCCCAUGUCAGCCCCCGUCCCAUCGCCCGUACCACCAACUCAUUUGCCACCCCUGCAAGGAAGAAAACACGCAACAACAGAGAGCAAUGGCUAAACGACAGCAAAAUAGUGACCUAUAACAUGUAAAUCGGCUUUAAAAAGCCCGAAUAAUGAAUGUAAAAGUGGGGAUUUUUUUUCAAGAUUCAAAAAAAAAAACAGAGAAUAGAUUGAAAAUCGUGCUAAGGUCUUU
RNAcentral lists this long non-coding RNA (489 nucleotides) under Gossypium barbadense (sea-island cotton). Its description in RNAcentral is "long non-coding RNA (GBAR_LNC002493)". Lineage: Eukaryota; Viridiplantae; Streptophyta; Magnoliopsida; Malvales; Malvaceae. The record is from RNAcentral.